RNAcentral lists this long non-coding RNA (1404 nucleotides) under Nicotiana tabacum (common tobacco). RNAcentral's name for it is "long non-coding RNA (NTAB_LNC008215)". Lineage: Eukaryota; Viridiplantae; Streptophyta; Magnoliopsida; Solanales; Solanaceae. The record is from RNAcentral.
CUUCUCUCUUAUAAGAAUUUUAAAUAUUAAGCCUUUCAUAAGAACAACUAUGGAACAUUCAAAAGAGCUACAAGAUCAGGUAUGCUUAUUCAUAGUCAUGUCUAACUAAACUUUUAUAUUCCUUAUAAUCUCUUGAAUAUCAUAACUGUUUAUCAUGUUAUAGUACUGUUAUAAAGAACAUCUUGAGAAAGCUUGUCAUGUCUAAUAAUGCUGAGAGUAGUUAAGCCCAGACUAUGCCAUCCUAAGGUCGAAACCGGUAGGCAAGGAAGCCGUUUAGGGGAGUAGACAGAGUUGAGGCGCUGUUAGGGUAAAUGAUUGAAGCAAGAAAAAUAUGGUAGUGGCCAGAAAAGACUGUUCAGAAUAACUUAUUAAACAAUGAUAAACCCUAUGAUAAACAAAGAGGCUAGAAGGAAUAUGUUUAGUAAACACAUGAUAAGAAUAAUAAAAAUAGAUCUAAUGAGCAACCACACAUAUCUACUAGAUGACAAUAAUGAUUACAAAAUACUCAUAUUAUAUACUUUUAACCAACUUAAUAACGAUAUUUGAAGAAAAAUUUACGAUAUUUUGGUUACUUUUGAAAUAAUAAACAUAAUGGAACAAGGAUAUACAGAACUAAUUCUAUCAGAGGAAAUAGACGAAUUAUAUUUGUAUGAACUAGAUUUAUAUUCAGAUUAAUGAUCAGCUACGAAUAUCUCCAGUACUGGUUACGAACUAUAAAAAAUAUAAAAUUAUUAGAAAAAUUAUUAAGAGAAAAUGUAGCAGAAUAUCAAAAAACCCAAGAUAUCCAAUACUUAGAAUACACGGGAGAAAAUAUAAAAGAAAUUUUAAGAAAAUAUAAAAGAAAUUUUAAGGCCAAUUCCGCUAGCCGCAAAAUAUUAUGAAAAAACCUUUAGCUUAUAAUACUUAUAAUAAACUAAGGGUCCUCCCUAAGAAAAGCUUAAAACCUCCCAAGAAAACUAUCCUUGUAAAAUGGAAACCCCCUAAUCAUAAUUUCUAUAAACUAAACAUUGAUAGUUCUUGUAUAGGAAACCUAGGAGUGAGAGGAGUAGGAGGGGUGUUUAGGGAUAAUAGGGGCCAAUGGAUCUUAGGCUUCAAUAUGAGAGUCGACCAUGCUACUAACAUAUAUAUGGAAAUCCUCGCCCUAUUUCAUGGAGUCAAAUUAGCACUAACAGAAAAUCUCUUCCCAUUAAUAAUAGAGACUGACUGCUUGGAACUAAUAAGUCUCCUAAAAUCUAAUAAUUGGCUCUACCAAAACUUGAUUGAUGAUUGCAGGUACAUAUUGCGGAAGGUGAAUGAUCCACAGUUGAAGCAUGUUUUUAGAGAGGCUAAUGGAGUAGCGGACCUAUUAGCUAAAAAUGGUUGUAGCUUGGACAAUUUUUGUAUUUUGCAAACUUAUGCUCUUCC